GAACCUCACGUAUAUUAGAUUAAAAUAAUUCUGUUUCUGAUAUUCUAUCAUUUUUUGAUCAACAAAAAUGGCAAUCUCAUAUGGUUUAAUCUAAGAGUAGGAUGGUCUCAUUUUUAUUAGUUCUCUUCCAUUCACAGACUGAAAGCUAGAGAAGAAGUUGCUAUGGUAACUCUAAGAACCAAACAGAAUCACAGAAUGAGAAUGGGAGAAGCCUAGUCCAGACUUAUCAAUUUGCAAAUGAAGACUUAAGGCUCAGAGAGGUGAAACAAAGCUGGGUGCUUCUACAGUGUGUUGCCACCUACCAAGCCCUUGACAGCUUCUUCAACCAAUUUCAAAUGUUAAAUUUUAAACUUCGUAAGAACAGGGACUAGUCUGAGUUACUCAUUGUACUCUCAGCAGCUAGCAUAAGAUGUAGGCGCAGAAGCAACCUUUAAUGAUGAAAAUGGUUGAGAUGCACCGAUAGUCCAUGGAGUGAAUCUCUGAGACUUUCCUCGCUUGUCUGAGUUUCCCUGCACACUUCAGCUAUUCUCCACUCUCUGCAGACCUCUCCAUUUUCCUGUAUCUUCCCAGAUGGGGAAGAGAAUAGAAAACCAGCAAAAGGUGAUUUGUUAGUUCAUAAGGCCACAGUCAACAUUUCUGGAUGGCUGGG
Molecule: long non-coding RNA, 649 nt
Organism: Symphalangus syndactylus (siamang)
Lineage: Eukaryota; Metazoa; Chordata; Mammalia; Primates; Hylobatidae
Source: RefSeq, a predicted model, not a curated record